This 478-nucleotide ribosomal RNA is filed under the name uncultured bacterium. RNAcentral describes it as "partial 16S ribosomal RNA". It matches the Rfam family "Bacterial small subunit ribosomal RNA", at positions 28 to 507 of the family's 1533-position model. The record is from RNAcentral.
GACGAACGCUGGUGGCGUGCUUAACACAUGCAAGUCGAACGGGAUUUAGUAAACAGAAGCCUCGGUGGAAGAUUACUAAUGAGAGUGGCGAACGGGUGAGUAACGCGUGAGCAACCUGCCUAUGACAGUGGGAUAGCCUCGGGAAACCGGGAUUAAUACCGCAUAAAAUCGUAGAAACACAUGUUUUAACGGUCAAAGAUUUAUCGGUCAUAGAUGGGCUCGCGUCUGAUUAGCUAGUUGGUGAGAUAACAGCCCACCAAGGCGACGACCAGUAGCCGGUCUGAGAGGAUGAACGGCCACAUUGGAACUGAGACACGGUCCAAACUCCUACGGGAGGCAGCAGUGGGGAAUAUUGCACAAUGGGGGAAACCCUGAUGCAGCGACGCCGCGUGAACGAAGAAGGUAUUCGUAUCGUAAAGUUCUGUCCUAUGGGAAGAUAAUGACAGUACCAUAGAAGAAAGCUCCGGCUAAAUACGUA